This 496-nucleotide ribosomal RNA is filed under the name uncultured bacterium. RNAcentral's name for it is "partial 16S ribosomal RNA". It matches the Rfam family "Bacterial small subunit ribosomal RNA", at positions 28 to 506 of the family's 1533-position model. The record is from RNAcentral.
GAUGAACGCUGGCGGCGUGCCUAAUACAUGCAAGUCGAGCGAACAGACGAGGAGCUUGCUCCUCUGACGUUAGCGGCGGACGGGUGAGUAACACGUGGAUAACCUACCUAUAAGACUGGGAUAACUUCGGGAAACCGGAGCUAAUACCGGAUAAUAUAUUGAACCGCAUGGUUCAAUAGUGAAAGACGGUUUUGCUGUCACUUAUAGAUGGAUCCGCGCCGCAUUAGCUAGUUGGUAAGGUAACGGCUUACCAAGGCAACGAUGCGUAGCCGACCUGAGAGGGGGAUCGGCCACACUGGAACUGAGACACGGUCCAGACUCCGACGGGAGGCAGCAGUAGGGAAUCUUCCGCAAUGGGCGAAAGCCUGACGGAGCAACGCCGCGUGAGUGAUGAAGGUCUUCGGAUCGUAAAACUCUGUUAUUAGGGAAGAACAAAUGUGUAAGUAACUAUGCACGUCUUGACGGUACCUAAUCAGAAAGCCACGGCUAACUACGU